RNAcentral lists this ribosomal RNA (676 nucleotides) under uncultured equine intestinal eubacterium sp. DW14. Its description in RNAcentral is "bacterial SSU rRNA". It matches the Rfam family "Bacterial small subunit ribosomal RNA", at positions 797 to 1482 of the family's 1533-position model. The record is from RNAcentral.
ACGCUGUAAACGAUGAUCACUAGGUGUGGGGGGACUGACCCCUUCCGUGCCGGAGCAAACGCAAUAAGUAAUCCACCUGGGGAGUACGGCCGCAAGGUCGAAACUCAAAGGAAUUGACGGGGGCCCGCACAAGCAGUGGAGUAUGUGGUUUAAUUCGAAGCAACGCGAAGAACCUUACCAGGUCUUGACAUCGAGUGAAGACUUAAGAGAUUAAGUCGCCUUCGGGCACAAAGACAGGUGGUGCAUGGUUGUCGUCAGCUCGUGUCGUGAGAUGUUGGGUUAAGUCCCGCAACGAGCGCAACCCUUACCAUUAGUUGCUACGCAAGAGCACUCUAAUGGGACUGCCGUUGACAAAACGGAGGAAGGUGGGGAUGACGUCAAAUCAUCAUGCCCCUUAUGACCUGGGCUACACACGUACUACAAUGGCAAUCAAACAGAGGGAAGCAAUACAGCGAUGUAAAGCAAAACCCGAAAAAUUGUCUCAGUUCGGAUUGCAGGCUGCAACUCGCCUGCAUGAAGUCGGAAUUGCUAGUAAUCGCAGAUCAGCAUGCUGCGGUGAAUACGUUCCCGGGCCUUGUACACACCGCCCGUCACACCAUGGGAGUCGGUAACACCCGAAGCCAGUAGUCUAACCGCAAGGAGGACGCUGUCGAAGGUGGGAUUGAUGACUGGGGUG